AUGAUGGAUCACUACUGCAAGCCGUACCUGAGUCAUCAUCAGCGGGCAAUGUGGCGUGGAGACAUCGGUCUCCUGUGCCGUGGCGACGGUGGGUUCACGGUGGCGAACCUCUCGGUGGGCGUUCAACCGUGGCUCUCUCUCGGUGAGUUCUCAGUGCUGCACCAUACCCCUGAGGAGACGGACAUGAAAUGGGAGGUCAAGCAGCUGCCAACGCCAGUGCCUUGUGACGGUCAUGACGGCACCCCGAACCUGGUGAUCGGUGGCCGUUCCUGUUCCUGGGAAACUGACAUUGUCAUCCCCUUUGAAUUUGACGGUCGCCAUUUGUGCUGGGUCGACCUCUAUCUGGGCUUGCUGUUUGUGGACGUCGUCAUCAAUCAUCCACCGCUGCCACGUUAUGCCCGGCUACCCGUGGAGCUGGAUCAACGUCGUACGUACAUUGAUUCCGGGGCCCCUGACCCAGCCCGCCGCGUGCGCGUCACCGACGCAGGCAUUAUGCAGCUCAUCAGCAUUAGCAACGACGCAGGUCGCAGUGUCCUCGCCCGCUCGUGUUCCGCUUUCAACAUCACAACCUGGACCUUCAACUUCGAGCCAGCGCAAUGGCACAAGGUUGUCACCAUCAGAUCCGACGAGUUCUGGGCCGCUAUUGACACAGAUAAGCGUCUUCCACGUCUCCUUCCAGAGUUUCCGACAAUGAGCAUGGUUGAUCCUGAUGAUGUUUGCUUCACGUUGGAGGAUAGCUACCACAAUUUCUGGCUGGUAAGCGUCAACAUUAAGAACAAGGUCCUGGGGGCUGUCGCGCUCUACAUCAACGAGGAGGAAGAAGAGGAAGGACGCGCUUCUGGUGUGUUCUAUGGCAACUCCUUCAUUGCCAGCCGGAUCACCCGGUACAUGGAUAAGGAUGCUAUCAAAAGUCUUGAAAUGAGCAAGAAAUUGCAGCAAGCAAAACAGGAGCGCACCAUGGAAAAGAUGAGUUGA
This 975-nucleotide ribosomal RNA is filed under the name Triticum aestivum (bread wheat). RNAcentral describes it as "partial small subunit ribosomal RNA". Lineage: Eukaryota; Viridiplantae; Streptophyta; Magnoliopsida; Poales; Poaceae. The record is from RNAcentral.